RNAcentral lists this transfer RNA (73 nucleotides) under archaeon. Its description in RNAcentral is "tRNA-Pro". It matches the Rfam family "tRNA". Rfam says of the family: Transfer RNA (tRNA) molecules are approximately 80 nucleotides in length. Their secondary structure includes four short double-helical elements and three loops (D, anti-codon, and T loops). Further hydrogen bonds mediate the characteristic L-shaped molecular structure. tRNAs have two regions of fundamental functional importance: the anti-codon, which is responsible for specific mRNA codon recognition, and the 3' end, to which the tRNAs corresponding amino acid is attached (by aminoacyl-tRNA synthetases). tRNAs cope with the degeneracy of the genetic code in two manners: having more than one tRNA (with a specific anti-codon) for a particular amino acid; and 'wobble' base-pairing, i.e. permitting non-standard base-pairing at the 3rd anti-codon position. The record is from RNAcentral.
GGGCCCGUGGUGUAAUCUGGUAGCAUUGCACGUUCGGGACGUGUAGAUUCGAGUUCAAAUCUCGGCGGGCCCA